UUUUCAUGUUGUUUCUCUCAGUGAAAGGAUCAAAGCAGUGAGGCUACUUUUUCCCCACUCAAUCAGACAGGAGUUCUUUGAAGCAAAUGUGGUUUUUUGCUUUUGCUUUUUUUCUUUUGCUCCUUAAGGAAGAAUCUCUAUAAUCAGAGGCUGACUUUGUAAAUUUCCUGACACUAGUCCCUUAGCAGGUGCGUGUAUGUCAUAGGAAGCAGAGCCUGUGCUGUCUUUUUCUUGGAUUUCCCCUUCUUGUCUUCCACUUGAUGAGAUCCACUGGGUUAUUUUAAUGUGCCCAGGAUGGUUGAGAACAUCUAAAGACAACAUCAUCCAUUCAUCAAAAACAUAUAAAGACAAAGACACAAGAGUUCAGCUGAACAGAAAAAUAAAUCAGGGACUUUUGAAAAGGCAUUUGUAGUUACAGCUUAAGGCUGUCUUGUAAAAAAAAAAAAGUAUCAAAAUAACUCCAUUAAUGAUCAUCUCAGAAGCAAAAUGAAGCUGAAAGCUUGUUACUAUGGUUCUUGCUUCCAGGGGGAAUUCAGAAUAUCUUAUAAAAAAUAAUGGGAUGGUGAAUAAAAAAAAAAAAAGAUGCUGAAGUCAAGUUGAACAUGAGUUCUUUGGGAGCCUUCCAGUGGCAUGUAAUGUAUAAAACCAGAGAUUCACCAAGAAUGGGUAUCUUCUCAUGGGUGAUGAAUGAUUAAUAAUAGUAGCUAAUGCAAAUUGAGCACUUACUAUGUUCCGGCAGUUGUACCAAACACUUUAAUUUCUUUUAAGCUUCAAACCAGCCCUAUCAAAGCCAGUGUCCGUGUUAGUCCUAGUUCCUUGACAAGCCUCCCACCUGAGGUUUAAAAGACCCAAGAUCAACACAGAUUGAAAGUGGCUGAGCUGGAACCCAACCCCAGGUCUGUCUGAUGCCAAAGCCCAGGCUCUGGUUUAUCAUAAGUGGUACAUGCGCUUUAUCAGCAACCUGUUACUUAUAGUCACAUUCUUGCUGCUCAAAGGCUGAAGUCAUGUCUGUCUGGGUUAAACACACUGAGGCAAUAAUCAAAUUGAUUUGAACAAAAUUCCUUUCUCGCUAUUAAUUAACUCAAGGAAAGAAAUUGUUUUACAGAUGUUUCCAGACAUUUCUCUCCACACUGCCCUUUGUAGAGUGGUAGUAUGGACCUACUUCCCUGUACAUUUUCCACAUCAAAGAUGCAAUAGGAUUAUCGAAACCCAUCAAACUACAUUUAAAAUGCCAGCAUUUUAUCAUAUGUAAGUUAUACCUCAGAACAAGUUGUUUCAAAAAGAAAGAUCCCAGAACAUUCAAUGGGACAUGCUGUCAAUAUGUUUUCGGAUAUGUCCUCAAUUUUACAUCAAAUUAUUCUUAAGUUAGAUGCUGCGACAUUGCCCCUUGUGCAUGUUAGUUCCCUAUAGAUCAACUUUUAAAAGCUUUAAAAUAAAACAUGCUUGUGCCAUAUAAUCUUCAAUGAUUUUCACCUUCGUUCUAGGAUACAUUUUAACCUAGAGGGAAGAUUUUCUGUACCAGUAAGUGCACUAGGUGAAUGGGACUUCUUUCACUGUCUUCCUUCUUUGCCUUCCUUCUAGCUUCCCCUCCUCCUGCCCCAACACUCAGCUGGACUACAUCUCCCAGUCUCCCCUGCAGGUAGGUCAUAGCCCUGUGACUGAGUUCUGCCCAAUAAGAUAUGAGCAGAAGUGAUGUGUGUCAAAACCUCCUCAAGUCUCUGCUCCACUCUUUUUCCCAUCUACUGUCUGCAAGUGACGAAUUCUGAAACCUUUGAGGCACAAGACACAGAAACCUGGGUCUCUAAAUCGGAGUGUAAGAGAUCACCUUCCCAUCCAGCACCUUUAGAGGAGCAAGGACUCACUUCUGUGGUGUUAAGCCAGUGCAACAUGGGGAUUUUAUAUUACAACUAGCGCUAGUGUACCUGUAGGCUUUCUUUCUUUGCCUUUUUUUCUUUCUUUCAAUAAUAUCUGCUGUAGGAUUGUCUACAUCCCUUAGAGACCAGCUCAAUGUACCAAAAUUAAAAGACUCUUCAGAGAAAUGCUAUAGAACUUUGAAAAAUGGGAAUAUUCAGAAAAGAAACUUCCCAUUUAUAAAGGCUGUUAUCUGACUCAUCAUUCAUUCACCCUUUUGUUGGAAAUGGUCUUCCCACAUUUCUUUGUGAAACCACCCUCCUCUGAGCCCAGCCAUGUGAUUUAUUUUUUAAAAUUAUUUUCUUAUUAUUUUUCAAAUGUUAAAUUCAACUAAUUAACAUAUAGUGUAUUAUUAGUUUCAGAGAUAGAGCUCAGUGAUUCAUCAGUUGCAUACAACCCCCAGUGCUCAUUACUUCCCAUGUCCUC
Molecule: long non-coding RNA, 2337 nt
Filed under: Canis lupus familiaris (dog)
Lineage: Eukaryota; Metazoa; Chordata; Mammalia; Carnivora; Canidae
Description: lncRNA (ENSCAFG00000050211.1)
Source: RNAcentral